Hibiscus syriacus is the source of this 247-nucleotide long non-coding RNA. RefSeq lists it as uncharacterized. Lineage: Eukaryota; Viridiplantae; Streptophyta; Magnoliopsida; Malvales; Malvaceae. The record is from RefSeq and is a predicted model, not a curated record. The transcript has 2 exons.
GAUUGAUGUUAUUUCUUUUUCUGAGGUGGAUAUAAUUACUCCAGCACAGAAGCUGUUGGCUAGGCAGUUGACAUGUGAUGUAGUACCAGGAAAAAGCCUGCUAGUUACUGGUCCAAAUGGGAGUGGAAAAAGUUCUGUUUUCAGAGUACUUAGAGGUCUGUGGCCCAUUGUGAGUGGAAGGCUUUAUAAACCAUCCCACCAUUUUGAUGAAGAUACUGCAUCUGGUGGCAUAUUCUAUGUUCCUCAG